Bos taurus (domestic cattle) is the source of this 458-nucleotide long non-coding RNA. The record is from Ensembl. Lineage: Eukaryota; Metazoa; Chordata; Mammalia; Artiodactyla; Bovidae.
GGACAGAGGAGUCUGGUGGGCAUAGAGUCAGACACGACUGAAGCCACUUACACAAAUCCACUAGUGGAUUACAAUUGCUUUUCAAGUACUGAACCAGCUUUGCAUCCCUGAAAUAAACCCCGCUUGUGUCAUGGCUUCCUUGUGGCUCAGCUGGUAAAGAAUUGCCUGAUGUGGGAGACCUGGGUUCAAUCCCUGGGUUAGGAAGAUCCCCUGGAGAAGGGAAAGGCUACCCUCUCCAGUAUUCUGGCUUGGAGAAUUCCAUGAACUGGAAUGGGGUCGCAAAGAGUCGAACACAGCUGAGCGACUUUCGAUUUCACAUUUAAUGUAAUUAUUGAUGAGGUUGAAAUAUGCCAUUUCCUUUUCCCCUUAUUCUUCUCAUUUUUUUUCAUUUCUGUUUUAUUUUUCUUGUCUUCCUGUGGGUUACUUAAAUAGUCUUUAGAAUUGCGUUUGGUUUAUAG